Molecule: ribosomal RNA, 119 nt
Filed under: Escherichia coli
Lineage: Bacteria; Pseudomonadati; Pseudomonadota; Gammaproteobacteria; Enterobacterales; Enterobacteriaceae
Also listed under: 1 other name
Description: partial 16S ribosomal RNA
Rfam family: Bacterial small subunit ribosomal RNA
Source: RNAcentral
AAAUUGAAGAGUUUGAUCAUGGCUCAGAUUGAACGCUGGCGGCAGGCCUAACACAUGCAAGUCGAACGGUAACAGAAAGCAGCUUGCUGCUUUGCUGACGAGUGGCGGACGGGUGAGUA